AAUGCGAUAUGUAAUGUGAAUUGCAGAAUUCAGUGAAUCAUCGAAUCUUUGAACGCACCUUGCGCUCUUGGGUAUUCCUGAGAGCAUGUCUUUUUGAGUGUCG
Molecule: ribosomal RNA, 103 nt
Filed under: Xylodon asperus
Lineage: Eukaryota; Fungi; Basidiomycota; Agaricomycetes; Hymenochaetales; Schizoporaceae
Description: partial 5.8S ribosomal RNA
Rfam family: 5.8S ribosomal RNA
About the family: 5.8S ribosomal RNA (5.8S rRNA) is a component of the large subunit of the eukaryotic ribosome. It is transcribed by RNA polymerase I as part of the 45S precursor that also contains 18S and 28S rRNA. Functionally, it is thought that 5.8S rRNA may be involved in ribosome translocation.
Source: RNAcentral